UCCCUACGGGGGGCAGCAGUAGGGAAUUUUCGUCAAUGGGCGCAAGCCUGAACGAGCAAUGCCGCGUGAACGAGGAAGGUCUUCGGAUCGUAAAGUUCUGUUGAAGGGGAAAAAGAGCGGGGAGAGGAAAUGGUCUCCGAUUGAUAUUACCCUUCGAGGAAGUCACGGCUAACUACGUGCCAGCAGCCGCGGUAAUACGUAGGGGGCGAGCGUUAUCCGGAAUGAUUGGGCGUAAAGGGGGCGUAGGCGGCCUGUUAAGUCGGGAGGGAAAGGUCCCGACUCACCCGGUACAGGCUCUG
This 299-nucleotide ribosomal RNA is filed under the name uncultured bacterium. RNAcentral describes it as "partial 16S ribosomal RNA". It matches the Rfam family "Bacterial small subunit ribosomal RNA", at positions 335 to 627 of the family's 1533-position model. The record is from RNAcentral.